This 401-nucleotide unclassified non-coding RNA is filed under the name soil metagenome. RNAcentral describes it as "partial contains 5.8S ribosomal RNA, internal transcribed spacer 2, and large subunit ribosomal RNA". The stretch from base 1 to 121 matches the Rfam family "5.8S ribosomal RNA", at positions 35 to 154 of the family's 154-position model. The record is from RNAcentral.
GAUGAAGAACGCAGCGAAACGCGAUAGUUAAUGUGAAUUGCAGAAUUCAGUGAAUCAUCGAGUCUUUGAACGCACAUUGCGCCCCUUGGUUAUUCCAAAGGGCAUGCCUGUUUGAGUAUCAUGAACACCUCAACUCUUGUGGUUUCCCACAAUGAGCUUGGACUGUGGAGGUUUUGUUGGCCCUGUGGUCAGCUCCUCUCAAAUGGAUCAGCUUACCGGUGUUUGGUGGCAUUACGGGUGUGAUAACUAUCUACGCUCGUGGUCGUCUCCAAAUAACCUCCAGUGAUGGAGGUUCGCUGGAGCUUAUAAAUGUCUCUCCCCAGUGAAGACAGCCUUUGAACGUUCGAUCUAAAAUCAGGUAGGACUACCCGCUGAACUUAAGCAUAUCAAUAAGCGGAGGA